AAUUAAACACUUCCCAGAAAACUCUUUUACUCCAAACUACUCAACUUGCAAUAUCAUCAAAGUUAUCAACCCUAUAGAUUGGAGACAAGACCUUUCACUUCUCAAAAAAUUUCAAGUCACAUUUGGAACAAGCCUACUAUCCAAUCAAACUUUCACUUGUUGGGAUUAUCACCAUGCCUGGAUUAAUGCUUUUCUAAUUCAAAAUUCCAACCAAAUCCUCACUUGGCUCUUCCUCUUUAACACCAUUUCUAAAUUUCAUUUUCCUAGAUGGUUUGCCCAAUGGUAAACAUGGAUGGGAGCCACAUUCGAAAUUUUGCCUUCUGAUAUCUAUCAAGGGUAUACCACUUUUAAAGCUAAAUACGUGCCUCCAGUAGAGGAAGAACUUUUCCAUCCUCUAAUUCUUUUUGCUUCAAAAUUCUUUGUCCCUUGGGUUCUUGCUUGGAACUAUGAAUAUAAAAUUGGACAAUUUCUUCAACAUCUUUCUUUAAAUCUUGAAGUUAUCUUUCUUUUAAUAAAAUUAGACAGUUCAGUUGGUUUUCAUAAACAGAACAGGCUUUAAUGAUGUUUAAGUUGCGAGUUUGAGGCUUUUCCACAAAAGGAAAAACAAUUCUUUUACCUUUAAUCUUCGAGAAAAUAUGAUCAUAAUUCACAGCAUAUGGAGUGAUAAGAUUUAUGAAUGGAGUGCAAAGUAUGACAGAUGAUGAAUGUUGUGUACAAGCAAAAAUGAAGUUUUGAUAUGCAAACCGUUGUUGGAAACAUGUGCAUCAAUCUUGGAAUCAAUUUUAAGAUAAGAGUUAUUUGCAGUUUUGAGUCUUUCUUUGGUGGCUUCUUGAAAUCUUUUUAGAAUUAUUCCUUCCUUGAUACAAUUAAGGUCAGUAUCUGUAUCAAAAAGAGCAAUAUUGUCCAAUCUAAAAUCAUCAGAAAUCUUUAGUUAUUUUGAUGAAAUAUUUUUGAGAAGUGACUUGCUUUAAAACGAAGAGAAAAUUUUCUGGAAUAUUUUUAAGAUUGGCUGUUUGGGGUGUUUCAAUUUUGGGUUCAGGUUCAUCUUCUUCUUCAGAGAAUUUCUUAAGAAGAAGUUGGAU
Molecule: unclassified non-coding RNA, 1082 nt
Filed under: Hevea brasiliensis (rubber tree)
Lineage: Eukaryota; Viridiplantae; Streptophyta; Magnoliopsida; Malpighiales; Euphorbiaceae
Source: RNAcentral